This 43-nucleotide non-coding RNA is filed under the name Schistosoma mattheei. Lineage: Eukaryota; Metazoa; Platyhelminthes; Trematoda; Strigeidida; Schistosomatidae. The record is from RNAcentral.
GUCCAGCUGACGAGUCACAUAGGACGAAACGCCCGUUCUGGAU